Molecule: ribosomal RNA, 905 nt
Filed under: Drosophila mercatorum
Lineage: Eukaryota; Metazoa; Arthropoda; Insecta; Diptera; Drosophilidae
Description: partial 16S ribosomal RNA
Rfam family: Bacterial large subunit ribosomal RNA (bases 1-621)
Source: RNAcentral
GAAUUCGGCAAAAAUAAUAUUCGCCUGUUUAACAAAAACAUGUCUUUUUGAAUUAAAUUUAAAGUCUAACCUGCCCACUGAAAAUUUUAAAUGGCCGCAGUAUUCUAACUGUGCAAAGGUAGCAUAAUCAUUAGUCUUUUAAUUGAAGGCUGGAAUGAAUGGUUGGACGAAAUAUUAACUGUUUCAUUUAAAUUUUUUUUAGAAUUUUAUUUUUUAGUCAAAAAGCUAAAAUAAAUUUAAAAGACGAGAAGACCCUAUAAAUCUUUAUAUUUUAUUUAUUUUAAUUGUAAAGAUUAAUUUUAUUAUAAUAAAUUAAAAUAUUUUAUUGGGGUGAUAUUAAAAUUUAAAAACUUUUAAUUUUUAAAACCAUUAAUUUAUGAAUAAUUCAUCCAUUAAUAAUGAUUAAAAAUUUAAGUUACUUUAAGGAUAACAGCGUAAUUUUUUUGGAGAGUUCAUAUCGAUAAAAAAGAUUGCGACCUCGAUGUUGGAUUAAGAUAUAAUUUUGGGUGUAGCCGUUCAAAUUUUAAGUCUGUUCGACUUUUAAAUUCUUACAUGAUCUGAGUUCAAACCGGCGUAAGCCAGGUUGGUUUCUAUCUUUAAAAAAUUAUAAUAUUUUAGUACGAAAGGACCAAAUAUUAGAAUAAUUAUAUUUUUAAAAAAGAAUAUUAUUAUUAAUUAAAAAGCUAUUUUGGCAGAUUAGUGCAAUAAAUUUAGAAUUUAUUUAUGUAAUUUUUUUUACAAAUAGUACUUGUUUUAUAUAGAAUUAGUUAUAUCUUUAAUUGGAAGUUUAUUAUUUAUAAUUUGUGUAUUAGUAAGAGUUGCUUUUUUAACUUUAUUAGAACGUAAAGUUUUAGGUUAUAUUCAAAUUCGUAAAAGACCUAAUAAAGUUGGGUUAAUAGGAAUUC